This 542-nucleotide ribosomal RNA is filed under the name Trichoderma sp. MS375. RNAcentral's name for it is "eukaryotic LSU rRNA". The stretch from base 182 to 335 matches the Rfam family "5.8S ribosomal RNA". Lineage: Eukaryota; Fungi; Ascomycota; Sordariomycetes; Hypocreales; Hypocreaceae. The record is from RNAcentral.
AGUUUACAACUCCCAAACCCAAUGUGAACCAUACCAAACUGUUGCCUCGGCGGGGUCACGCCCCGGGUGCGUCGCAGCCCCGGAACCAGGCGCCCGCCGGAGGGACCAACCAAACUCUUUCUGUAGUCCCCUCGCGGACGUUAUUUCUUACAGCUCUGAGCAAAAAUUCAAAAUGAAUCAAAACUUUCAACAACGGAUCUCUUGGUUCUGGCAUCGAUGAAGAACGCAGCGAAAUGCGAUAAGUAAUGUGAAUUGCAGAAUUCAGUGAAUCAUCGAAUCUUUGAACGCACAUUGCGCCCGCCAGUAUUCUGGCGGGCAUGCCUGUCCGAGCGUCAUUUCAACCCUCGAACCCCUCCGGGGGGUCGGCGUUGGGGAUCGGGAACCCCUAAGACGGGAUCCCGGCCCCGAAAUACAGUGGCGGUCUCGCCGCAGCCUCUCCUGCGCAGUAGUUUGCACAACUCGCACCGGGAGCGCGGCGCGUCCACGUCCGUAAAACACCCAACUUCUGAAAUGUUGACCUCGGAUCAGGUAGGAAUACCCGC